Molecule: transfer RNA, 73 nt
Filed under: Ictidomys tridecemlineatus (thirteen-lined ground squirrel)
Lineage: Eukaryota; Metazoa; Chordata; Mammalia; Rodentia; Sciuridae
Description: Spermophilus tridecemlineatus (thirteen-lined ground squirrel) tRNA
Rfam family: tRNA
About the family: Transfer RNA (tRNA) molecules are approximately 80 nucleotides in length. Their secondary structure includes four short double-helical elements and three loops (D, anti-codon, and T loops). Further hydrogen bonds mediate the characteristic L-shaped molecular structure. tRNAs have two regions of fundamental functional importance: the anti-codon, which is responsible for specific mRNA codon recognition, and the 3' end, to which the tRNAs corresponding amino acid is attached (by aminoacyl-tRNA synthetases). tRNAs cope with the degeneracy of the genetic code in two manners: having more than one tRNA (with a specific anti-codon) for a particular amino acid; and 'wobble' base-pairing, i.e. permitting non-standard base-pairing at the 3rd anti-codon position.
Source: Rfam by way of RNAcentral
GAGGCUAUAGCUUAGUUGGUGGAGUGCUUGCCUUGCAUGCACAAGGCCCUGGGUUCGAUCCCCAGCCCCCUCC